Molecule: ribosomal RNA, 588 nt
Filed under: uncultured bacterium
Lineage: Bacteria
Description: partial 16S ribosomal RNA
Rfam family: Bacterial small subunit ribosomal RNA
Source: RNAcentral
UGGGGAAUUUUGGACAAUGGGCGAAAGCCUGAUCCAGCAAUGCCGCGUGUGUGAAGAAGGCCUUCGGGUUGUAAAGCACUUUUGUCCGGAAAGAAAUCCUUGGCUCUAAUACAGUCGGGGGAUGACGGUACCGGAAGAAUAAGCACCGGCUAACUACGUGCCAGCAGCCGCGGUAAUACGUAGGGUGCAAGCGUUAAUCGGAAUUACUGGGCGUAAAGCGUGCGCAGGCGGUUUGCUAAGACCGAUGUGAAAUCCCCGGGCUCAACCUGGGAACUGCAUUGGUGACUGGCAGGCUAGAGUAUGGCAGAGGGGGGUAGAAUUCCACGUGUAGCAGUGAAAUGCGUAGAGAUGUGGAGGAAUACCGAUGGCGAAGGCAGCCCCCUGGGCCAAUACUGACGCUCAUGCACGAAAGCGUGGGGAGCAAAACAGGAUUAGAUACCCUGGUAGUCCACGCCCUAAAACGAUGUCAACUAGUUGUUGGGGAUUCAUUUCCUUAGUAACGUAGCUAACGCGUGAAGUUGACCGCCUGGGGAGUACGGUCGCAAGAUUAAAAACUUAAAUGAAUUGACGGGGUCAUAGCUGUUUCCU